AGCUCUUAUAAGACCCAUCUCAGUUUCAUCCUUGAGUUGUAGUUGCUUCACUUCUGUCUUGGCUGCAAGGCCAUCAUCUUUAUCCGUUCCAUCGGUUGCAGCUACACAAUCAUGAAAUCUGAAGCAACUGAUGAGAUGGUCGUUUGUGAUACCAGCUACUUGCAUGAAUGAGUACACAACAGUAGGUCCAACUCCUCUGAAUCCUCUUUUAACUAGGUCUUUACUUAUCCCUUCAGCUUUCGAUGUCUUCAUUGGCACCUGCCUUGCAUAUCGGAAUUGACUAACUAUAGGUUUGUUAUUCACAAAACCCCAUAUGUAUUUGUCGAAGGAUCCAAGUUCAUCGAUGAUCUUACACGUUUGGCGUGCAUUUUCA
Molecule: unclassified non-coding RNA, 373 nt
Filed under: Hevea brasiliensis (rubber tree)
Lineage: Eukaryota; Viridiplantae; Streptophyta; Magnoliopsida; Malpighiales; Euphorbiaceae
Source: RNAcentral